CUUCUUUUGAAGUGGAGACUCUGAAAAGGAGUGCUUGCUGUACACUAAUACACAGAUUCCAAGUGCAUUUGUGAAAGCAGAAAAACCUCUGAAGAUUCUUCUAAGGACUCCUAACACAGCAAAGAAAUUUGCUCUUUUGCCACCUGAAGAAGGAGGAACAGAGAUGGUGAGAGUGCCUACGUGAUGAGACAUCUGGAAGUCCUUAUCAAGAAUGAAACACUUGAGCAACCCAUUUCCUUAGCACUUACCCAAAGGCCAGAGAUGCUGUCUGCAAUACUCUGCAGGAAGUCCCAAAGCUAAGAAAGAAUUGGGAAGAAAGCUGACUACUUUGUCCAUUUACCCAGCCCACCUCACCUCCAUGAACUGAAUUAGCAGGCAUCACUCACUACAAGCUUUUGUCCUACAGAAACUCAGAGAUGGUGAACUGCAUCUGUAACCUACCCUGGGGGGAGGUCAAAGAAAUGUCUCAGAAGUGUCUGGCACAGGAACAACUCAUCAGUUAGCACGGAAGCAAUGGUUGUCUGUGCCAGGAGAGAAGCAGGGCAUUCCUCUGUGCCUGUGUGCAUGCAUUUCAACUGCGUGUUCUGCAUUGCCUUAUUCAUGGCUGGCUGCAAUAAACAGUGUA
Molecule: long non-coding RNA, 625 nt
Organism: Numida meleagris (helmeted guineafowl)
Lineage: Eukaryota; Metazoa; Chordata; Aves; Galliformes; Numididae
Exons: 6
Source: RefSeq, a predicted model, not a curated record